UCGAGAAUUUUUCUCAAUGGGGGAAACCCUGAAGGAGCGACGCCGCGUGGAGGAUGAAGGUCUUCGGAUUGUAAACUCCUGUCAUUGGUGAACAAAGCCCUUCAAUGGGUUUGAUAGUAGCCGAAGAGGAAGAGACGGCUAACUCUGUGCCAGCAGCCGCGGUAAUACAGAGGUCUCAAGCGUUGUUCGGAUUUAUUGGGCGUAAAGGGUGCGUAGGCGGCAGGGUAAGUUAGGCGUGAAAUGCUGAAGCUCAACUUCGGCACUGCGCUUGAUACUGCCUUGCUCGAGUGCUAGAGAAGAAGCUGGAAUUUACGGUGUAGCAGUGAAAUGCGUAGAUAUCGUAAGGAACGCCAGUGGCGAAAGCGAGCUUCUAGAUAGUUACUGACGCUGAGGCACGAAAGCUGGGGGAGCAAACGGG
Molecule: ribosomal RNA, 418 nt
Filed under: uncultured bacterium
Lineage: Bacteria
Description: bacterial SSU rRNA
Rfam family: Bacterial small subunit ribosomal RNA
Source: RNAcentral